This is a long non-coding RNA of Myotis brandtii (Brandt's bat), 214 nucleotides long. RefSeq lists it as uncharacterized. The record is from RefSeq and is a predicted model, not a curated record. NCBI's taxonomy places the organism in Eukaryota, Metazoa, Chordata, Mammalia, Chiroptera, Vespertilionidae. The transcript is spliced from 3 exons.
UUCAAGCCUUCUCAUGCCACAGGGUCUGGGCUGUUCAGGAUGGUGACUAUGGGUGUCUGUCUAACACUGCAAACAAAGCUUGAGUGAGGGACGGUAUUGUGAGGGCAAGAUACCUGAAGCUGAAACAGGUGUUUUAUGACCACAAGGCAAAAAGCCCAAAGGAAAAUUCCAAAUUAUGAAGAGGAAAUGUGAAUACAAAAACCAUUUGUAUUAC